CCUACGGGAGGCAGCAGUGGGGAAUAUUGCGCAAUGGACGAAAGCCUGACGCAGCGACGCCGCGUGAGGGAUGAAGGUCUUCGGAUCGUAAACCUCUGUCAGCAGGGAAGAACGGUCACUGUACUAAUCAGCAGUGAAUUUACGGUACCUGCAAAGGAAGCACCGGCUAACUCCGUGACCGCAGCCGCGGUAAUACGGAGGGUUCGAGCGUUAAUCGGAAUUACUGGGCGUAAAGCGAGCGUAGGCGGUAUGUCAAGUGAAGGGUGAAAUCCCCGCGCUCAACGUGGGAACUGCCUUUGAGACUGGCAAACUGGAGUGUAGGAGAGGAUAGUGGAAUUCCAGGUGUAGGAGUGAAAUCCGUAGAUAUC
RNAcentral lists this ribosomal RNA (368 nucleotides) under uncultured bacterium. RNAcentral describes it as "partial 16S ribosomal RNA". It matches the Rfam family "Bacterial small subunit ribosomal RNA", at positions 338 to 698 of the family's 1533-position model. The record is from RNAcentral.